This 1552-nucleotide ribosomal RNA is filed under the name Jonesia denitrificans. Its description in RNAcentral is "bacterial SSU rRNA". It matches the Rfam family "Bacterial small subunit ribosomal RNA". The record is from RNAcentral. Lineage: Bacteria; Bacillati; Actinomycetota; Actinomycetes; Micrococcales; Jonesiaceae.
UUUUAUGGAGAGUUUGAUCCUGGCUCAGGACGAACGCUGGCGGCGUGCUUAACACAUGCAAGUCGAACGAUGAUGACCGGAGCUUGCUUUGGUUGGAUUAGUGGCGAACGGGUGAGUAACACGUGAGUAACCUGCCCCUUCUUCGGGAUAACCAUUGGAAACGGUGGCUAAUACCGGGUAUGACAUCAGAUCGCAUGGUUUGGUGUGGAAAGGUUUUUUCUGGUGGGGGAUGGGCUCGCGGCCUAUCAGCUUGUUGGUGGGGUGAUGGCCUACCAAGGCUUUGACGGGUAGCCGGCCUGAGAGGGCGACCGGCCACACUGGGACUGAGACACGGCCCAGACUCCUACGGGAGGCAGCAGUGGGGAAUAUUGCACAAUGGGGGAAACCCUGAUGCAGCGACGCCGCGUGGGGGAUGAAGGCCUUCGGGUUGUAAACCCCUUUCAGUAAGGAACAAGGCCAUGAUUGUUGUUGUGGUUGAGGGUACUUGCAGAAGAAGCGCCGGCUAACUACGUGCCAGCAGCCGCGGUAAUACGUAGGGCGCAAGCGUUGUCCGGAAUUAUUGGGCGUAAAGAGCUCGUAGGCGGUUUGUCGCGUCUGUCGUGAAAUCCCGAUGCUUAACGUCGGGCUUGCGGUGGGUACGGGCAGGCUGGAGUGCGGUAGGGGUGACUGGAAUUCCUGGUGUAGCGGUGGAAUGCGCAGAUAUCAGGAGGAACACCGAUGGCGAAGGCAGGUCACUGGGCCGUUACUGACGCUGAGGAGCGAAAGCAUGGGGAGCGAACAGGAUUAGAUACCCUGGUAGUCCAUGCCGUAAACGUUGGGCACUAGGUGUGGGGAUUGUUCCACGAUUCCUGUACCGUAGCUAACGCAUUAAGUGCCCCGCCUGGGGAGUACGGCCGCAAGGCUAAAACUCAAAGGAAUUGACGGGGGCCCGCACAAGCGGCGGAGCAUGCGGAUUAAUUCGAUGCAACGCGAAGAACCUUACCAAGGCUUGACAUACGCUAGAUCGCUCCAGAGAUGGGGUUUUCCUUUGGACUGGUGUACAGGUGGUGCAUGGUUGUCGUCAGCUCGUGUCGUGAGAUGUUGGGUUAAGUCCCGCAACGAGCGCAACCCUUGUUCUAUGUUGCCAGCACGUAAUGGUGGGGACUCAUGGGAGACUGCCGGGGUCAACUCGGAGGAAGGUGGGGACGACGUCAAAUCAUCAUGCCCCUUAUGUCUUGGGCUUCACGCAUGCUACAAUGGCCGGUACAAUGGGUUGCGAUACUGUGAGGUGGAGCGAAUCCCUAAAAGCCGGUCUCAGUUCGGAUUGGGGUCUGCAACUCGACCCCAUGAAGUCGGAGUCGCUAGUAAUCGCAGAUCAGCAACGCUGCGGUGAAUACGUUCCCGGGCCUUGUACACACCGCCCGUCAAGUCACGAAAGUUGGUAACACCCGAAGCCGGCGGCCUAACCCCUUUUGGGGAGGGAGUUGUCGAAGGUGGGACUGGCGAUUGGGACUAAGUCGUAACAAGGUAGCCGUACCGGAAGGUGCGGCUGGAUCACCUCCUUUCUAAGGAG